GGUGGACCAAAGAACGACACGUCGCCUGAUUGCAUGUGUACCGACUAACGAACGCGCCACCACGUGACUGAAACAGCAGGAUGCGAAAGAAAAAGAUUGAAUGCACCGGGACUUUCCGGUGGCGGUGGGAGAGGAGUCAAAGUGGCGCAGCAACAGAGCACACCCAGUUUGCGAAAUUGGAAUUGGGAUUUUGAUUGUGUGAGUAAAAAAAGAGAGCGAGUUCAAAAUUGGGGGCUGAAAUGGUAGAAUUAUUGGUAGCGAAAAAUUGGGGUUGAGGACAGUGACUGUUAGAUUGAUAAGGUUAGGGUUUAUGUUGGAAUUAGGUCAAAAUUUCAAAUGGGGAGAAUUUUUCUGAUUGAAUUGGACGGCAGAACUUACAGAUGCAGAUUCUGUGACAGCGCUCUUGCCCUUGCCGACGAUGUCCUCUCUCGGUCUUUCAACAGCCAUCAAGGAAGGGCAUAUCUGUUCAGCAAUGUGGUGAACAUAACGCUCGGUCCUGAGGAAGAUAGGCUAAUGUACUCUGGUUUGCAUACUGUGGAAGAUAUUUUUUGUUGCUGCUGCGGACAGAUUCUUGGCUGGAAAUAUGUAAUUGCACACGAAAAAAACCAAAAAUACAAGGAAGGAAAGUUUGUGCUCGAAAGAUGGAGGAUAGUGGAGGAUGUAGCUGAGGAAUUCAACUUGGACGCUCGUCUUGGUUCAAGUGAUGGAGAAAAUCCCUAGCAAAGUUCAACACUUAUACAAAUAAUAAGAGGUGGAUGCUACAGUUAUAAUCAUUACAGACAAUAUCAAGAGUUCUGAAUUCUGUAUUACACUUUCAGUAUAAAGGUACAUCAUUCAGUAUUGUCUGACCGAGUCUUGGACGGAGCCAUGGAGAUGGGGACCACAGAAUAAUCGGGUAAAAGAAAGAAAAAAUAAUAAAAUGUCACCGUCCGGGGAUUGUUGUGGUGGUAUUAAUUGGAACGGCACGGCCACGCGCCGCUCUGCAACUCUCUGCCCCCGCGUGAUGCACACCACGGUUGGACUCUCAGUGCCCUUCCCUUUUCGAACAACUUUCAUAGCAUACGAGUGCAUCGUUAAGGUAAUGUUUUGUUGUUUUGUGUCGAUGAUACAAUCUGAUAUGUAAAUGUUAUUAUGUACGAUAUUGUAUUUUUGCACGUGAAAUUAUAUUAGCAAUGUAUUUAUGUUAUAUAAGUA
Molecule: RNA transcript, 1194 nt
Organism: Malus domestica (apple)
Lineage: Eukaryota; Viridiplantae; Streptophyta; Magnoliopsida; Rosales; Rosaceae
Gene name: protein yippee-like At5g53940
Source: RefSeq, a predicted model, not a curated record